Molecule: ribosomal RNA, 234 nt
Filed under: uncultured bacterium
Lineage: Bacteria
Description: partial 16S ribosomal RNA
Rfam family: Bacterial small subunit ribosomal RNA
Source: RNAcentral
UGAGCAAUCUGCCCUUCUCAUCGGAAUAAGCGUUGGAAACGACGUCUAAUGCCGAAUACGACCUCCUUUCGCAUGAUCGGAGGUGGAAAGCUCCGGCGGAGGAGGAUGAGCUCGCGGCCUAUCAGCUAGUUGGUGUGGGUAAUGGCCCACCAAGGCGACGACGGGUAGCCGGCCUGAGAGGGUGACCGGCCACACUGGGACUGAGACACGGCCCAGACCUCCGUACGGGAGCAG